RNAcentral lists this ribosomal RNA (171 nucleotides) under uncultured Alphaproteobacteria bacterium. RNAcentral describes it as "16S ribosomal RNA". It matches the Rfam family "Bacterial small subunit ribosomal RNA", at positions 338 to 526 of the family's 1533-position model. Lineage: Bacteria; Pseudomonadati; Pseudomonadota; Alphaproteobacteria. The record is from RNAcentral.
CCUACGGGAGGCAGCAGUGGGGAAUAUUGGACAAUGGGGGCAACCCUGAUCCAGCAAUGCCGCGUGUGUGAUGAAGGCUUUAGGGUUGUAAAGCACUUUCAAUGGUGAAGAUGAUGACGGUAACCAUAGAAGAAGCCCCGGCUAACUUCGUGCCAGCAGCCGCGGUAAUAC